UCCACAGUAGCUCAGUGGUAGAGCAAUCGGCUGUUAACCGAUCGGUCGUAGGUUCGAGUCCUACCUGUGGAG
This is a non-coding RNA of Bacillus sp. LL01, 72 nucleotides long. NCBI's taxonomy places the organism in Bacteria, Bacillati, Bacillota, Bacilli, Caryophanales, Bacillaceae. The record is from Rfam.